Felis catus (domestic cat) is the source of this 916-nucleotide long non-coding RNA. RefSeq lists it as uncharacterized. NCBI's taxonomy places the organism in Eukaryota, Metazoa, Chordata, Mammalia, Carnivora, Felidae. The record is from RefSeq and is a predicted model, not a curated record. The transcript is spliced from 3 exons.
UGCCCCUCUUUAAGUAGUUAAUGGAAUAAAUAUUACUACUAAGUAUUUCCUGGCUUUUCCUUCCUCUGCCUGCUAAGAGGGUUCUGCUUGGGCCUGUUGAUUGCUUCCCCUUUUUUUCCUCCCUGAAGAAAGUCCUUCCUGGCCAGAUUCCGUGGACCUCAGUGGCAAUUCAAGAGUAAAUGAAUCAUCGGUGGUGGCUUUGGAAACUUCAGGUGCCUGGGCUCCACUCUGGAUACUCUGAAAAGCUUCACAUGUGAGUGAUUCUGCUGGGCCUUCAGGAUUGGGAAGCCCUGGGCAGCAGCAUGAGACUGGAAAGGUCAACCGUUCUGUGAAUUGAGAAGAAUGUGUGAACAAUGUGUCAACAUAUAAGACAGGAUCACAAUGGAACGUAUCAUCUUGGGUUUCAAGCAAAAGCAAUCCAUGAGUUAAAUUUGGGGGAAUAGAAGUAACAUAACUUUUUAUAGGUGCUUGAAACUAUUUGAAGAAAGUGUUUGGAAAAAAGCAAAAUGAUGGAAAAAAAUAUGAGGAAAAAAAUAGUGAUACCUCAUAUCUAAUGCAGUGGACGGUCUCUUACCUGACUUCUCUUUAACCAAUUAAGUUGUUUAACUGACAAGCGUCUCUUUUUCUAUAAAACAUAUUAUAUUGGCUGAGGCGCACAAGUGCACUACUUAUUUAUCUCAUGACUAAUCAGGUUCCUAAAAGUUAUGCACCCAUCAGCUGAGUCAUAUACUUACCAGGGGUCACAAGUGUUGGUUCCCAAGCCUGUUUAUGCCUGCUGGACUUGUUAUUGUAAUUCUAUAACUUGUUAUUAUAAUUAUAUAACUAAGUAACUGAUGAAAUGUAAGUGUGAAAAAAACUUGCUUCUAUGAAAAAUCAGUUUAAUGCUUGGAAUCAAUAAAGCCAAGUUGUCAAAACA